GGUUAAGCGACUAAGCGUACACGGUGGAUGCCCUGGCAGUCAGAGGCGAUGAAGGACGUGCUAAUCUGCGAUAAGCGUCGGUGAGGUGAUAUGAACCGUUAUAACCGGCGAUUUCCGAAUGGGGAAACCCAGUGUG
This 136-nucleotide ribosomal RNA is filed under the name Escherichia coli. Its description in RNAcentral is "partial 23S ribosomal RNA". It matches the Rfam family "Bacterial large subunit ribosomal RNA", at positions 1 to 135 of the family's 2925-position model. Lineage: Bacteria; Pseudomonadati; Pseudomonadota; Gammaproteobacteria; Enterobacterales; Enterobacteriaceae. The record is from RNAcentral.